Long non-coding RNA from Gambusia affinis (western mosquitofish), 963 nucleotides. RefSeq lists it as uncharacterized. Lineage: Eukaryota; Metazoa; Chordata; Actinopteri; Cyprinodontiformes; Poeciliidae. The transcript is spliced from 3 exons. The record is from RefSeq and is a predicted model, not a curated record.
UUCAGGAAACAUUUGAACCUUUUUGGACCUGGCCGGCAUCUGUAGCUCGGCCACUGCAGAGUCACACCACACAGAGGAGGAAGAGGAGGAGGAGGAGGAUGAUGGGGAGCUGUUCUGCAAUGUCAGAGCUUUGAUGUGACGUGGUGACGAUUCCUGCUGCCCAGCGAGUUUACUGCUGCAGUCCUGUGGUUCCGGGAUUAAAGCCCGUCAAUCUCAGUAGCUGAUAAAGUCAGACCUCUCUGCCUACCCACAGUUUCUCUCACUGAAUGAGGCACUGACAGAAUAAAGAAGAGCUCCUGGAGACCAGACUCUCUUAUCAGCCUCCAACAUCUGGCUGAGACUGAUGGGCUCUUGGAAGCGCUCUCCAAAUAUCAUUGAGUUUGAGCUGCAAAAUGCUUGUUUAACCGCAUCCUUCCUACAAUGCUAAUUCAGCCCCUCUCAUUACAUGUCUUUCACCAGAGGAACCCGUUUCUAUGAUUACUGAAAUUAGUUCCUCAACAGGACAGGAUUAAUGGGAGGCAGUAGUCUAAAGGGCGAUAAAAACGAGACUGAAAGGUGAGUCAAGUCAUACGUGAGCGAAAGGGAAUUGAAAUAUGACGUGACGUGGCUGGAUCAAAGAGUACAAAACUGAUAAAUAUCAAAUUUGCCAGAUGUUAAGCUUUUAAAGCUGUGCUUGAAAGAAGUUUUCACUGAAAUGAAAAAGCCGUUUCCAGAGGAAAUUAUCCCUCCUGUCAGUACUGUCAUCAUGCAUUUCAGCUUAUUAAUUCAAAACUCUGAGGUAAUCUGCACUUGAUGAGAAAAAAAAUAACUUAAACACCUGUUUCGGUGUUUGCAAAGCACUUGCCAAAAGUGUGGCUAAACACGAAAAGGGUUAGAGCAGAUGUACCACAGUGAGUCAUUUUUGGUGAAAAAACCUGCUUCACCUGUCCGCCAUGCAGCUACAUGUUGCCUUAUUUUGAUCAC